UACGGGGGGAGCAAGCGUUGUUCGGAUUUACUGGGCGUAAAGGGCGCGUAGGCGGUCAGCACAAGUCAGUUGUGAAAUCUCCGGGCUUAACUCGGAAAGGUCAACUGAUACUGUGCGACUAGAGUGCAGAAGGGGCAACUGGAAUUCCUGGUGUAGCGGUGAAAUGCGCAGAUAUCAGGAGGAACACCGAUGGCGAAGGCAGGUCUCUGGGCCACUACUGACGCUGAGAAGCGAAAGCAUGGCGAGCGAACAGG
Molecule: ribosomal RNA, 254 nt
Filed under: uncultured bacterium
Lineage: Bacteria
Description: partial 16S ribosomal RNA
Rfam family: Bacterial small subunit ribosomal RNA
Source: RNAcentral